CAAAAUAGCAUUACUUGAAGUGCCUUUCCCCCUGUAAUCCGACUCCAUCGUCUUUAACAUGUUUGGAAUUGUGUACACAGUUUAUUGUUAUUGGUUUCCUUAGCCUUUUUAGAACCAAGCAACGCCAAUUACCAACAAAAUCCGUUGCGCCGCAGUGAGUUAGCUACCUUCUAUCUCCACUUUGUCCUGCAUGUCGAUCUCAGGUCACCCACCGGUCUGAAGAGGAGGAUGAGAGACAAAGAAAAAAGUUGUCUGGCUGCCUCUGCUGUCUACAGAUUGAAGAAGAUCCAUCCAGCUGAGCCCAGCCUAGACCAGCUGACUUCUCCAAUAAGCCUGUAUGAAAUAAAUGCUUAUUGUUAUGUG
This 363-nucleotide long non-coding RNA is filed under the name Pan troglodytes (chimpanzee). Its description in RNAcentral is "lincRNA". The record is from RNAcentral. Lineage: Eukaryota; Metazoa; Chordata; Mammalia; Primates; Hominidae.